GACGAACGCUGGCGGCGUGCUUAACACAUGCAAGUCGAACGGAAAGGCCCCUUUGGGGGUACUCGAGUGGCGAACGGGUGAGUAACACGUGAGUAACCUGCCCUUGACUUCGGGAUAACUUCAGGAAACUGGGGCUAAUACCGGAUAGGAAUCCUUGCUGCAUGGUGGGGGUUGGAAAGCUUCGGCGGUUUUGGAUGGACUCGCGGCUUAUCAGCUUGUUGGUGGGGUAGUGGCUUACCAAGGCUUUGACGGGUAGCCGGCCUGAGAGGGCGACCGGCCACAUUGGGACUGAGAUACGGCCCAGACGCCUACGGGAGGCAGCGGUGGGGAAUAUUGCACAAUGGGCGGAAGCCUGAUGCAGCAACGCCGCGUGCGGGAUGACGGCCUUCGGGUUGUAAACCGCUUUCAGCAGGGGCGAAGCUUGUGGUGACGGUACCUGCAGAAGAAGCACCGGCUAACUACGUG
RNAcentral lists this ribosomal RNA (465 nucleotides) under uncultured bacterium. Its description in RNAcentral is "partial 16S ribosomal RNA". It matches the Rfam family "Bacterial small subunit ribosomal RNA", at positions 28 to 507 of the family's 1533-position model. The record is from RNAcentral.